Molecule: ribosomal RNA, 291 nt
Filed under: uncultured bacterium
Lineage: Bacteria
Description: partial 16S ribosomal RNA
Rfam family: Bacterial small subunit ribosomal RNA
Source: RNAcentral
AAUCCUACGGGAGGCAGCAGUAGGGAAUCUUCCACAAUGGACGAAAGUCUGAUGGAGCAACGCCGCGUGAGUGAAGAAGGGUUUCGGCUCGUAAAGCUCUGUUGGUAGGGAAGAAAGAUAGAGGGAGCAACUGGCCUUUAUUUGACGGUAAUUACUUAGAAAGUCACGGCUAACUACGUGCCAGCAGCCGCGGGAAUACGUAGGUGGCAAGCGUUGUCCGGAUUUAUUGGGCGUAAAGCGAGUGCAGGCGGUUCAAUGAGGUUGAUGUGAAAGCCUUUGGGCCCACACGAG